RNAcentral lists this non-coding RNA (26 nucleotides) under Rattus norvegicus (Norway rat). The record is from RNAcentral. Lineage: Eukaryota; Metazoa; Chordata; Mammalia; Rodentia; Muridae.
UGACGUUCCUUCGGGUCGGGGUUGGA